UACCAGCUCUCCGAGUAGUGUGGAUGUUUAUUGGGCCUAAAGCAUCCGUAGCUUGCUAAGCAAGUCCCCUGUUAAAUCCACCGAUUCAAUCGGUGGAUUGCGGGGGAUACUGUUUGGCUAGGGGACGGGAGAGGCCGACGGUAUUUCCGGGGUAGGGGUGAAAUCCUAUAAUCCCGGGAAGACCACCAGUGGCGAAGGCUGUCGGCUAGAACGCGCCCGACGGUGAGGGAUGAAAGCUGGGGGAGCGAACCGGAUUAGAUACCCGGGUAGUCCCAGCUGUAAACGAUGCAGGCUAGGUGUUUGGGCGGCCACGAGCCGCUCUAGUGCCGCAGGGAAGCUGUUAAGCCUGCCGCCUGGGGAGUACGGCCGCAAGGCUAGAAACUUAAAGGAAUUGGGCGGGGGAGCACCACGAAGGGGUGAAGCUUGCGGUUU
This 432-nucleotide ribosomal RNA is filed under the name uncultured archaeon. RNAcentral's name for it is "bacterial SSU rRNA". It matches the Rfam family "Archaeal small subunit ribosomal RNA", at positions 474 to 903 of the family's 1478-position model. The record is from RNAcentral.